Molecule: non-coding RNA, 76 nt
Organism: Schistocerca gregaria
Lineage: Eukaryota; Metazoa; Arthropoda; Insecta; Orthoptera; Acrididae
Source: the annotation of a RefSeq genome assembly
GGCUGGAUAGCUCAGUGGGUAAGAGCAUUGCCCAUGAAAGGCAAGGUUCCGGGUUCGAGUCCCGGUCCGGCAUACA